Molecule: non-coding RNA, 82 nt
Organism: Microbacterium sp. 69-10
Lineage: Bacteria; Bacillati; Actinomycetota; Actinomycetes; Micrococcales; Microbacteriaceae
Source: Rfam
GCGGGAGUGGUGGAAUCGGUAGACACGCAGGAUUUAGGUUCCUGUGCCCCUGGGCGUGUGGGUUCAAGUCCCAUCUCCCGCA